UGUCACGCGUGUGGAAGUGACGGAAUAGGAAGGAAUAAUUAAUCAAUCUUUUUCGAGUCUGGACACCUCGACAAUUAGUCAAAGCAAAUAGAAGUGAUGAUCAACACGUUCACUGCCAGAUCAAAACAGUGUAAUAUUCUGCAAACGUAACAUUCUGAUUUCAGACCAUUAUUUAUUUUUCUCAACGUCUUAACUUCGAGAAUUCAUUAAUGGUAAAUCCUGGCAUCCAUAGGUGACGUGGGCAGUCAAAGUGUUGAAAAGUAUCGAGAGUGUCUUCGAGCGGUUAAGAAAAACAAAGAUGGCGCGCGUGAAACAGGCAGAACAAACGAAUUACGAAACGAAUAGAAAUAAUUUUCGCGCCAGAAUUUCUAAUGGAAGUUCAAUGCCUCGUAUGUUGAUGCAAUAUAUUACCGAGUGAAUGAUUAGCGUUUACGAACGUGUAAAUAUCCGAGUAAAAUCUAGUACGUACCGCGUGGCGUGCGCGAAAGGAAUAUUACGAAUCUUAUCUGGAUGAAAGUUUUGUGCAACGAAUGAGAAAUAGAAAAAUGUUGAUUUUUCUACGCUAUAUAGAUUAUAAUUUUUCGACGUUCGAUUUGGAUCCCAAAUUCGAAAGUGAAGUUUGUUUCGAUCUGCGUUCAACGAUGCGCGUUAUCUAGAUGAUUCCACGUUACGUACGACGUAGAAGCAAAUAAACCAUUUUUCGCUCGAUGGCUCGCGUAACUGUUCCAUCAAUUGCUUGCUCGAUACUACUCCCAUACUUAGUAUAAUAAAUCCAUUACUCAGUCACCGUGAUCAGUUCACUUUGGACGAUUUACAAGUACGUAAGUAGACAAUUGGAAACCAGCAUAACCGUAAUUUUGUCAUAAAACUUAUUUUCAAGUCUCGUUAAAAUUCAACAGUCGUAUUUAGAUUUAUUUUCUUUGACAUUUAAUCUCGAGAAUGAAUCUUUUUAGUUCCUUAGUGAAACACAAUGUUACCCAUGUCACCAUGUAGGUGGCGUGGCAGUCAAUGUGUUGAAGCUCCGAACUUUGGAAAUUCGAGGUUAGGAACUCGGCGAAUUCGGGGACCCUUAAAAUUAAAAAUUGCAAAAAUUAUAUUUCCGUUAUCUGAACGAGUAUGGAGAAAAAUUAAUAACGAAAGAGAGAUCCACGACGGUGGAAAAAACGGAUCGACAGAGAAACACCGUGCACGUGGUGGCAAGUCAUGUGAAAGUGGCCUUGCCGCGUUAACGCGGAUCAUGACGCAGUACUUUUUCGCCUCUUCUGCACGGCCUACGAAAAUUGACCAAUGAUUUACCAAAAAGAAAAAAAAAAAAAAUGCGACAUCCUACUUUCGAAAGAGGCAUCCAAAUAAUUUCUAGUCGCCAAAGAGUCGCGUCAUCGGUCGUAGAAACGCGAAAACGUGAAAAUUGUUAAUAAAUCGAGGUCCGUGCAAUUAUCAAUCAUUAAUUAUAAUAGAAAGGAAAAAUGGUAUUUAAUAAAUUGAUCGUUAGACGAGAAUAAAUGGAUAAUAAAUCCUUGUGGAUCGUGGCCGAUCGAAAGAAACGGUGAUUAUUAAUGCGUUGAGCGAAUAAAUACAUAUUAACGAGUCGAAACGAGAACUCGGAUUUCCGAAACGAAUCGGUCCCGAUUCGGUUAAUGAAGAUGUUCGUGAAUCGCAAAUCGCCGCAAAUCCAUAAUAACGAACGAAUCACUUUCUAUUGGGUAAUACAUGUGAUCGUAUACGUCCUAGCGGCACGCCAUACAUAAAGCAUGAACAACUUUCGAUGCUUCGAUCCGCUACGAAUGGAUCGAGAGUGCAAGGACACGCGACCAACCGACAAAUCUAUCGAAAAGAGAACCAUCGUAG
Long non-coding RNA from Colletes gigas, 1848 nucleotides. RefSeq lists it as uncharacterized. The record is from RefSeq and is a predicted model, not a curated record. The transcript is spliced from 3 exons. Lineage: Eukaryota; Metazoa; Arthropoda; Insecta; Hymenoptera; Colletidae.